AUCACUUCUUGGCCUUUUGGCUAAGAUCAAGUGUAAAACCUAUAAAUACUACAAUUUGGGGCUUUAAAAAGUGUAAAUGUUUUACGAAACCUGCCUAUACUACAUAGCAAAAGGCUUAUUUUCCUGUAUA
Small nuclear RNA from Macaca fascicularis (crab-eating macaque), 130 nucleotides. Its record names the gene U2. It matches the Rfam family "U2 spliceosomal RNA". Rfam says of the family: U2 is a small nuclear RNA (snRNA) component of the spliceosome (involved in pre-mRNA splicing). Complementary binding between U2 snRNA (in an area lying towards the 5' end but 3' to hairpin I) and the branchpoint sequence (BPS) of the intron results the bulging out of an unpaired adenosine, on the BPS, which initiates a nucleophilic attack at the intronic 5' splice site, thus starting the first of two transesterification reactions that mediate splicing. Lineage: Eukaryota; Metazoa; Chordata; Mammalia; Primates; Cercopithecidae. The record is from Ensembl.